Molecule: ribosomal RNA, 200 nt
Filed under: uncultured bacterium
Lineage: Bacteria
Description: partial 16S ribosomal RNA
Rfam family: Bacterial small subunit ribosomal RNA
Source: RNAcentral
UACGUAGGUGGCAAGCGUUAUCCGGAUUUACUGGGCGUAAAGCGCACGCAGGUGGUUACUUAAGUCUGAUGUGAAAGCUCCUGGCUUAACUGGGAGAGGUCGUUGGAAACUGGGUAACUUGAGGUGAUGAGAGGGAUGUGGAAUUCCGGGUGUAGUGGUGGAAUGCGUAGAUAUCCGGGGGAACACCAGUGGCGAAAGCG